Molecule: ribosomal RNA, 1502 nt
Filed under: metagenome
Description: bacterial SSU rRNA
Rfam family: Bacterial small subunit ribosomal RNA
Source: RNAcentral
AGAGUUUGAUCCUGGCUCAGGAUGAACGCUGGCGGUGUGCCUUAAGCAUGCAAGUCGAACGAGAUUUCCGCUUCGGCGGAAUGAAGUGGCGAGCGGGUGAGUACAGCACAGGAAUGUACCCUGAAGUGGGGAAUAAUCCCGCGAAAGCGGGACUAAUACCGCAUAUCGUCUUCGGACGAAAGGACGUAACUGUCUGCUUUAGGAGCAGCCUGUGUGCUAUCAGCUUGUUGGUGGGGUAAAAGCCUACCAAGGCUACGACGGCUAGGGGGUGUGAGAGCAUGACCCCCCACAAGGACACUGAGAUACGGGUCCUACACCUACGGGUGGCAGCAACUGGGAAUCUUGCGCAAUGGGCGAAAGCCUGACGCAGCGACACCGCGUGGAGGAUGAAGGCCUUCGGGUUGUAAACUCCUUUUAUAUGGGAAGAAGACCGGCUUUUGUCGGUUUGACGGUACCAUACGAAUAAGCACCUGCUAACUACGUGCCAGAAGCCUCGGUAAUACGUAGGGUGCAAGCGUUAUCCGGAAUCACUGGGCGUAAAGCGUAUCGUAGGCGGUUAAAUAAGUGUGUGGUGAAAUCUUUCGGCUCAACUGAAAAAUUGCUACACAUACUGUUUAACUAGAGGAUGCUAGAGGAUGCUGGAAUUUUCGGUGGAGGGGUGAAAUCCGUUGAUAUCGAAAAGAACACCAAGGGUGAAGGCAAGCAUCUAGGGCAUAUCUGACGCUGAUGAACGAAAGCUAGGGUAGCAAAAGGGAUUAGAGACCCCUGUAGUCCUAGCCGUAAACACUGUUCACUAGUUGCCCCAUUCAUAAAGAUUAGGUUUUAGCUUUUUAGCUAAUUAGCUAGUUUUUGUGAACGGGGUGACGUAAGCUAACGCGUUAAGUGAACCGCCUGGGGAGUACGGCCGCAAGGCUAAAACUCAAAGGAAUUGACGGGGAGGCGCACAACCAGUGGAGCAUGUGGUUUAAUUCGAUACAAAGCGUUGGACCUCACCUGGGUUUGACAUGUACCUGCACGGUUUCCGAAAGGAUUCCUUCUUCGAGAGUGGUACACAGGUGUUGCAUGGCUGUCGUCAGUUCGUGUCGUGAGACGUCCACUUAAGUGUGGUAACGAACGCAACCCGCAUCCUGUGUUAAAUAUUCACAGGAAACUGCCUCGCAACAAGCGGGGAGGAAGGAGCGGAUGACGUCAAGUCAGCAUGACCCUUACAUCCAGGGCAACACACAUCCUACAAUGGGACCGACAGAGGGUUGCCAAGCCGCGAGGUGGAGCUAAUCCCUUAAAUGGUCUCUCAGUUCGGAUUGCAGGCUGAAAUUCGCCUGCAUGAAGCCGGAAUUGGUAGUAAUCGCGAAUCAGCAGGUCGCGGUGAAUACGUUCUCGCCUCUUGUACACACUGCCCGUCAAGCGAGGAGAGUUGGGGGUACCCGAAGACGUUUGUCCAACCGCAAGGAGGACGGCGUUGAAGGUAAACUCAGCAAUCAGCACUAAGUCGUAACAAGGUA